RNAcentral lists this long non-coding RNA (437 nucleotides) under Nicotiana tabacum (common tobacco). RNAcentral's name for it is "long non-coding RNA (NTAB_LNC014562)". Lineage: Eukaryota; Viridiplantae; Streptophyta; Magnoliopsida; Solanales; Solanaceae. The record is from RNAcentral.
GGAAGCCAAUAAGAUGCAUAUUAUUAGUUUGUAAAAAUGCAAACAACUAGGAAUCGAAGUUAACCUUUUCUUUUAACGCCGUGAGAGCAAACAAGAAGCAUACCCCUCCAAUUUUAAAUUAGUAUUUCACCAUUACGAAUCAUCGGAAAAAAGGGUUUUAAGCAUUUGUCUGAAGAGAGAUAGGAGAACACUUAUCAUAAGAAAAAUAACGGAGCAAGCGAGAGAAUUAGAGAAAGCGAGGAACUUACACUUCGAUUCGAUUCGAUUACACUGCAGAUAGCAAGUUCUGGGUAGAAAUGGUGAGAAAGAAGAAACCUUCGCCUAAUUUUGAAAUUAGGGCGGAAAUAAUAUAUAAAUCAAAUUUGGGUCGGAUUUGGCCUUUCGAAACUGUGGAAAGCAAAGAAAGAAGUAAAAGCCCAAACUGGAAGUUCCUUUUU